GUGCAUCGGUGUUAUGAAACAUAUGGGGCCAGACUCGGAAGAUCCCAGCAGCAACACUAACAUUUCACCCCCAAGCCCCAGACAGGAGUCUAGCAUGGCUGUCCUCUGAGCAGCUCCACCCACCAACUGACUCAGAGUCAUACACCCACAGCCAAACAGUGGAUGGAGCUUGAGGAUUCUUAUGGAAGAAGAGGAGGAAGGAUUGCAGCCCCUAAGGGGAUAGGAACUCCACGAGAAGACCACCAGACUCAACUAACCUGGACUCUUGGGGCUCUCAGAGACUGAACCACCCACCACAGAGCAUACACAGGGUGGACAUAGGCUUCACUGCACAUACGUAGCAGAAAUGCAGCUUGGUCUUCAUGUGGAUCCUGAACGGGGGCUCUCCUAAAAGCUGUUGACUGUAUGGGGGAUAUGUAUGGGCUGCCUUGUCUGGCCUCAGUGGAGAGGAUGCAUCUAGCCCCCACACUCUCAGAAAAGAAGGGGAGGGGAAGGAUUGUGGGAGGGGGUGAUCAGGAGGGGGGCAGUGAGCGUGACGUAAAGCGAAUAAGUAAAAAUAAAUUUUAAAACAUG
RNAcentral lists this long non-coding RNA (573 nucleotides) under Rattus norvegicus (Norway rat). RNAcentral describes it as "long non-coding RNA NONRATT018807". The record is from RNAcentral. Lineage: Eukaryota; Metazoa; Chordata; Mammalia; Rodentia; Muridae.